This 1066-nucleotide long non-coding RNA is filed under the name Anolis carolinensis (green anole). Its description in RNAcentral is "lncRNA (ENSACAG00000038909.1)". Lineage: Eukaryota; Metazoa; Chordata; Lepidosauria; Squamata; Anolidae. The record is from RNAcentral.
CCAUUUUAUACAUUUCCAAGUUUGAAGUCUGUUUGAAUUUCCCGCCCCGUCCCUCCGCCCAUCUGGUUGCUGAUAGGUCGAGGGUGCCGCACUAGGUGGGAGCUUGGUUUCCCGCCCUGUGCCUUGGCCAAUGAGGAACAACCUUCGUCUCUGUCAGGGCCAAUCAGGUUGGGGGAGGCGGGAGUCAGCUAGACAAUGGAUUUUGGUAAAUGAAUCAUUGGGGAUAUCUUAUGCAAAGUGACUACCUGAGGCUAGCGCCUUCUAAGAUAAUCUAAGAUUAUUGCUGUUUUGAAUAGAGCCAUUUGGAAUGUCCGGGGUUUUACGCACGUACACAGUUCAUGAACACCUAAGGUGUGGCGGAGGUGACAGCAAACAUUGAUAAUAUGGGGUUAUGGUGGCAGGACCAGCGGGGGGCCUUCCUAUGGCUCUCCAGGGGUCCAGGUGAGUUAGUGGUCAACAUUACCAUAUGAGAUUUAAUUACCCGGGGGACUGCUCCGAUCUGGGGUGGCUCAAUCUCUCGCUAUGGGCCAUGCAGAUGCAAAAUAGAUUAAAUUUUAUGGUGACAGUUUAUCCUCUUUUGUGUGUGAAGCCCAGAGUAUAGGGUAAAGGAAGGUGGGAAUUUUCGGGGUUAACUAGAGUUCAGGCUAUGCCUACAUUGAUUAAAAUAUACCGGGGAAUGAUAUCUAAAGUAACAAUUAAAAUAAUAUCUAAGAUAAUGUAGUGUAUAUUUUCUUUUAUUGUGUUGUUUAAUGUGUUGUUCUAUUAUAUUUUGUUAUAUUGUAUUGUUCUGGGCAUGGCCCCAUGUAAGCCACCCCGAGUCCCCGUUGGGGAGAUGGUGGCGGGGUAUAAAUAAAGUUUUAUUAUUAUUAUUAUUAUUAUUAUUAUUAUUAUUAUUAUUAUUAUUAUUAUUUACAGGAUUUUUCAGAGGCAACGCUGAUGGAAUUGUUCCAGGAGUGUGACCUCUGUAAACAGUGCACAUUUUGCAGGUGUAGAACAAGGUUGGGAAGACAACAGCUUUAUAAAUAAGCACCUUGGUAUCCCUACGGAUAUCCCAAUCCUCAAAUAC